ACGGCCAUACCAUGCUGAAAGCACCGGUUCUUGUCCGAUCACCGAAGUAAGGCAUCAUUGGGCACUGUCAGUACUUGUGAGGGUAACCACCUGAGAACAUCCCGUGCCGUUG
Nephila pilipes (giant wood spider) is the source of this 112-nucleotide non-coding RNA. NCBI's taxonomy places the organism in Eukaryota, Metazoa, Arthropoda, Arachnida, Araneae, Nephilidae. The record is from the annotation of a GenBank genome assembly.